CGAAGUAGGAAUUUAUGCGUUAAGUGUUCAUUGGCUGGGGAGUCGCCGUGAAACGAAAAGCCCGCAAAUAUUCAGGCGGCUUACGAUAUAUUUUCCGCACCCGUUG
Molecule: non-coding RNA, 106 nt
Filed under: uncultured Blautia sp.
Lineage: Bacteria; Bacillati; Bacillota; Clostridia; Lachnospirales; Lachnospiraceae
Description: THF riboswitch
Rfam family: THF (Tetrahydrofolate) riboswitch aptamer
About the family: THF riboswitch presents a pseudoknot that joins P1-P2 and the loop of P3 and two THF binding.
Source: RNAcentral